RNAcentral lists this ribosomal RNA (253 nucleotides) under uncultured bacterium. RNAcentral's name for it is "partial 16S ribosomal RNA". It matches the Rfam family "Bacterial small subunit ribosomal RNA", at positions 524 to 776 of the family's 1533-position model. The record is from RNAcentral.
GACGGGGGGGGCAAGUGUUCUUCGGAAUCACUGGGCGUAAAGCGCACGUAGGCGGACUCUUAAGUCGGUGGUGAAAUCCUGGAGCUCAACUCCAGAACUGCCUUCGAUACUGGGAGUCUCGAGUCCGGGAGAGGUGAGUGGAACUGCGAGUGUAGAGGUGAAAUUCGUAGAUAUUCGCAAGAACACCAGUGGCGAAGGCGGCUCACUGGCCCGGUACUGACGCUGAGGUGCGAAAGCGUGGGGAGCAAACAGG